Molecule: ribosomal RNA, 253 nt
Filed under: uncultured bacterium
Lineage: Bacteria
Description: partial 16S ribosomal RNA
Rfam family: Bacterial small subunit ribosomal RNA
Source: RNAcentral
UACGUAGGGUGCAAGCGUUGUCCGGAAUUAUUGGGCGUAAAGAGCUCGUAGGCGGUUUGUCGCGUCUGCUGUGAAAACUCGGGGCUUAACCCCGGGCCUGCAGUGGGUACGGGCAGACUAGAGUGCGGUAGGGGAGACUGGAAUUCCUGGUGUAGCGGUGAAAUGCGCAGAUAUCAGGAGGAACACCGGUGGCGAAGGCGGUUCUCUGGGCAUGUCCUGACGCUGAGGAGCGAAAGUGUGGGGAGCGAACAGG